This 253-nucleotide ribosomal RNA is filed under the name uncultured bacterium. RNAcentral's name for it is "partial 16S ribosomal RNA". It matches the Rfam family "Bacterial small subunit ribosomal RNA", at positions 524 to 775 of the family's 1533-position model. The record is from RNAcentral.
UACGUAGGGUGCAAGCGUUAAUCGGAAUUACUGGGCGUAAAGCGUGCGCAGGCGGUUUUGUAAGUCAGAUGUGAAAUCCCCGGGCUUAACCUGGGAACUGCGUUUGAAACUACAAGGCUAGAGUGUGACAGAGGGGGGUGGAAUUCCACGGUGUAGCAGUGAAAUGCGUAGAGAUGUGGAGGAAUACCAAUGGCGAAGGCAGCCCCCUGGGAUAAUAUUGACGCUCAUGCACGAAAGCGUGGGGAGCAAACAG